Molecule: ribosomal RNA, 209 nt
Filed under: uncultured bacterium
Lineage: Bacteria
Description: partial 16S ribosomal RNA
Rfam family: Bacterial small subunit ribosomal RNA
Source: RNAcentral
UGCGUAGGCGGCGCGGUAAGUCGGGUGUGAAAUCUCGGAGCUUAACUCCGAAACUGCAUUCGAUACUGCCGUGCUUGAGGACUGGAGAGGAGACUGGAAUUUACAGUGUAGCGGUGAAAUGCGUAGAUAUCGUAAGGAAGACCAGUGGCGAAGGCGGGUCUCUGGACAGUUCCUGACGCUGAGGCACGAAGGCCGGGGGAGACGAAACG